UAAGUUUAUAUAUAGAUAGCUAUUAAAUACAUUUGACACUAUAAGGAGCUCUCUCUGCUUCUCUCCAUAGAGAGAGGAACAUUUGUGAGACAGUACACUAAUAUGGGGUCAAUGUUUUAAAUGCAGAUUUCAGCUACAGAAGCUACACCAGUGACAACUAUGAAUAUGGAUAUGACAACAAGCUUGGAAUUACAAGGUUGACAUCAAUGGCUGUAUUAAUAUGAGACAAGAUGGAAACGUAGAUGGCAUGCAAGAGGGUAACCUGCUACUUCUUUCACAUGAUUUUGAAUUGGUCAGAGCUCCACAAAAUCUGCUCCAACUGAUGCCAAUGGCAGAAUGCCUCUUGAUGCUCAUGGGAGCUGCACUGGACCAGCCUUGUAUCCUUUCCACACGCUUACUGUUUUUCAGGUUUCCCUGGCCAAAAAUGCUGCAUCACUCUGCACAUCUUAAUUCUGUUAAUAAAAAAAUUGGUCUUGGAUUAACAUCCACUGCCUUAGAAAUGUCCACCUGAAGUCUUGAAAAGAACAAGUCAGACAAAGGGUUGAAUUCACGUGUUACUUCUCCCCAUUGUUUAAAAAGCCCCACUAGACAACAAGUUAAAAUAAAUAAAGAAAGAAAUCCA
RNAcentral lists this long non-coding RNA (622 nucleotides) under Manacus vitellinus (golden-collared manakin). RNAcentral's name for it is "lncRNA (ENSMVIG00005002541.1)". Lineage: Eukaryota; Metazoa; Chordata; Aves; Passeriformes; Pipridae. The record is from RNAcentral.